AAUCUACAUUCAGAACUGCGCACGGCUCAGUAUAUCAGUUAUUAUUUAUUUGAGGAAAUCUACUACCCUGGNAGAACCGGAAUAAUUCUACACGCUAUAUACGGUGNAUACGUACUCCUCUACCUUGAAGAAGUGUAUUUAUUAGAAUGAAAACCAAUAGACUUUGUCUGCCUUGUGCCUAAUACUAACUUGUCAUAUCGCAUGCUGUGUGUAAGAGAANNGUCUUUUAAGUUUCUGCCCUAUCNGCUUUGUACGGCAGCGUAUUGUAAUACCAUGGCAGGAACCGGAAACCAAGAAUUUGGGUUUCAGAUGUUCGAAAGAUGGGAGCCGGACAGAUGGCUACCACAUCCAAGGAAGGCCGCAGGCGCGUAAAUUACCCAAUCCUGACACAGGGAGGUAGUGCACAAUAAAUCACAAUGCGGGACUUCUGUUUCGCAAUUGGAUUGAGAACAACGCACAACACUUAUCGAUAAACAAUUGGAGGGCAAGUCUGGUGCCAGCAGCCGCGGUAAUUCCAGCUCCAAUAGCGUAUAUUAACGUUGUUGCAGUUAAAAAGCUCACA
This 562-nucleotide ribosomal RNA is filed under the name Blastocystis sp. RNAcentral's name for it is "SSU rRNA". It matches the Rfam family "Eukaryotic small subunit ribosomal RNA", at positions 72 to 632 of the family's 1831-position model. The record is from RNAcentral. Lineage: Eukaryota; Bigyra; Opalinata; Blastocystidae.